Molecule: ribosomal RNA, 424 nt
Filed under: uncultured beta proteobacterium
Lineage: Bacteria; Pseudomonadati; Pseudomonadota; Betaproteobacteria
Description: bacterial SSU rRNA
Rfam family: Bacterial small subunit ribosomal RNA
Source: RNAcentral
CAAGACCUUGCGCUUUUGGAGCGGCCGAUGUCUGAUUAGCUAGUUGGUGAGGUAAAGGCUCACCAAGGCUCCGAUCAGUAGCUGGUCUGAGAGGACGACCAGCCACACUGGGACUGAGACACGGCCCAGACUCCUACGGGAGGCAGCAGUGGGGAAUUUUGGACAAUGGGGGCAACCCUGAUCCAGCCAUGCCGCGUGAGUGAAGAAGGCCUUCGGGUUGUAAAGCUCUUUCAGCCGGAACGAAACGGUUACAGCUAAUACCUAUGACUUCUGACGGUACCGGAAGAAGAAGCCCCGGCUAACUACGUGCCAGCAGCCGCGGUAAUACGUAGGGUGCGAGCGUUAAUCGGAAUUACUGGGCGUAAAGGGUGCGCAGGCGGUUUUGUAAGUCAGAUGUGAAAUCCCCGGGCUUAACCUGGGAACU